This 248-nucleotide ribosomal RNA is filed under the name uncultured bacterium. RNAcentral's name for it is "partial 16S ribosomal RNA". It matches the Rfam family "Bacterial small subunit ribosomal RNA", at positions 523 to 770 of the family's 1533-position model. The record is from RNAcentral.
AAACGUAGGUGGCGAGCGUUAUCCGGAUUCAUUGGGCGUAAAGAGCUUGUAGGUGGUGCGAUAAGUUGGACGUGAAAACUCCGGGCUUAACUUGGAGAGGCCGUUCAAUACUGUUGUGCUAGAGGGCGUCAGAGGGAAGUGGAAUUCCUGGUGUAGCAGUGAAAUGCGUAGAUAUCAGGAGGAACACCCGUGGCGAAGGCGGCUUCCUGGGACGUACCUGACACUGAGAAGCGAAAGCUAGGGGAGGC